Molecule: non-coding RNA, 25 nt
Filed under: Mus musculus (house mouse)
Lineage: Eukaryota; Metazoa; Chordata; Mammalia; Rodentia; Muridae
Source: RNAcentral
UGAAUUUUUAUUCUGGAUCGCGUUA